GUGCUUGCUUCAAUGGCACAUAUGCUAAAAUUGGAACUAUACAGAGAAGAUUAGCAUGGUUCCUGCGCAAGGAUGACAUGCAAAUUUGUGAAGUGUUACAUAUUUUU
Molecule: small nuclear RNA, 107 nt
Filed under: Choloepus hoffmanni (Hoffmann's two-fingered sloth)
Lineage: Eukaryota; Metazoa; Chordata; Mammalia; Pilosa; Megalonychidae
Source: RNAcentral